CAGUCGCCGCGGGAAUACGUAGGGUGCAAGCGUUAAUCGGAAUUACUGGGCGUAAAGCGUGCGCAGGCGGUUCGCUAAGACAGAUGUGAAAUCCCCGGGCUUAACCUGGGAACUGCAUUUGCGACUGGCGGGCUAGAGUAUGGCAGAGGGGGGUAGAAUUCCACGUGUAGCAGUGAAAUGCGUAGAGAUGUGGAGGAAUACCGAUGGCGAAGGCAGCCCCCUGGGCCAAUACUGACGCUCAUGCACGAAAGCGUGGGGAGCAAACAGGAUUAGAUACCCCCGUAGUCCCUGUCUCUUAUAC
RNAcentral lists this ribosomal RNA (301 nucleotides) under uncultured bacterium. Its description in RNAcentral is "partial 16S ribosomal RNA". It matches the Rfam family "Bacterial small subunit ribosomal RNA", at positions 509 to 807 of the family's 1533-position model. The record is from RNAcentral.